UACAGAGGGGGCAAGCGUUAUUCGGAAUUACUGGGCGUAAAGGGCUCGUAGGCGGCCAACUAAGUCGGACGUGAAAUCCCUCGGCUUAACCGGGGAACUGCGUCCGAUACUGGAUGGCUUGAGUUUGGGAGAGGGAUGCGGAAUUCCAGGUGUAGCGGUGAAAUGCGUAGAUAUCUGGAGGAACACCGGUGGCGAAGGCGGCAUCCUGGACCAACACUGACGCUGAGGAGCGAAAGCCAGGGGAGCAAACGGG
Molecule: ribosomal RNA, 253 nt
Filed under: uncultured bacterium
Lineage: Bacteria
Description: partial 16S ribosomal RNA
Rfam family: Bacterial small subunit ribosomal RNA
Source: RNAcentral